RNAcentral lists this long non-coding RNA (224 nucleotides) under Prunus persica (peach). RNAcentral describes it as "long non-coding RNA (PPER_LNC001480)". Lineage: Eukaryota; Viridiplantae; Streptophyta; Magnoliopsida; Rosales; Rosaceae. The record is from RNAcentral.
AAGAAUCCAAUUGUUGGAGACGACUGGAAUGUUGAGGAGAUCCAAAAAGAACAAGGGAAAAAUAUAAAGAAGGUCAAAUUAAUAGCUUCAUUUGGAAAAUAAAAAUUUAUAGCCAAGUGGAAUGGAUUUUAAGUUUUUAAAAAUUUUAAAAUAUAUUAUAUUAUAUUUAAAGCUACGUGGCUUUAUAGCAUUGGAUUUGUGGGCUCCACACAUGUGACAUGUCA